Molecule: ribosomal RNA, 1488 nt
Filed under: bacterium enrichment culture clone NCAAH 30A10
Lineage: Bacteria
Description: bacterial SSU rRNA
Rfam family: Bacterial small subunit ribosomal RNA
Source: RNAcentral
GAGUUUGAUCCUGGCUCAGGAUGAACGCUAGCGGCAGGCCUAACACAUGCAAGUCGAGGGGUAGAGGGGUGCUUGCACCCCUUGAGACCGGCGCACGGGUGCGUAACGCGUAUGCAACCUACCUAUUGCAGGGGAAUAGCCCAGGGAAACUUGGAUUAAUGCCCCAUAGUCCAUAUUGAGAGCAUUCGAUAUAUGGUAAAGAUUUAUCGGCAAUAGAUGGGCAUGCGUCCCAUUAGCUAGUUGGUAUGGUAACGGCAUACCAAGGCUACGAUGGGUAGGGGCCCUGAGAGGGGGAUCCCCCACACUGGUACUGAGACACGGACCAGACUCCUACGGGAGGCAACAGUGAGGAAUAUUGGACAAUGGGCGGGAGCCUGAUCCAGCCAUGCCGCGUGCAGGAAGACUGCCCUAUGGGUUGUAAACUGCUUUUUUACGGGAAGAAACACCCCCACGUGUGGGGGCUUGACGGUACCGUACGAAUAAGGACCGGCUAACUCCGUGCCAGCAGCCGCGGUAAUACGGAGGGUCCGAGCGUUAUCCGGAAUCAUUGGGUUUAAAGGGUCCGUAGGCGGGCGUCUAAGUCAGUGGUGAAAUCCCGCAGCUCAACUGUGGAAUUGCCAUUGAUACUGGUCGCCUUGAAUUAGUGUGAAGUGGCUAGAAUAUGUAGUGUAGCGGUGAAAUGCUUAGAUAUUACAUAGAAUACCGAUUGCGAAGGCAGGUCACUAACACUAUAUUGACGCUGAUGGACGAAAGCGUGGGGAGCGAACAGGAUUAGAUACCCUGGUAGUCCACGCCGUAAACGAUGGAUACUAGCUGUCCGGCCUGCAUUGGUAGGCUGGGUGGCCAAGCGAAAGGGAUAAGUAUCCCACCUGGGGAGUACGUUCGCAAGAAUGAAACUCAAAGGAAUUGACGGGGGCCCGCACAAGCGGUGGAGCAUGUGGUUUAAUUCGAUGAUACGCGAGGAACCUUACCAGGGCUUAAAUGUAGUCUGACAGGGGUGGAAACACCCCCGUCUUCGGACAGACUGCAAGGUGCUGCAUGGUUGUCGUCAGCUCGUGCCGUGAGGUGUCAGGUUAAGUCCUAUAACGAGCGCAACCCCUGUCGUUAGUUGCCAGCAUGUAAAGAUGGGAACUCUAACGAGACUGCCGGUGCAAACCGUGAGGAAGGUGGGGAUGACGUCAAAUCAUCACGGCCCUUACGUCCUGGGCCACACACGUGCUACAAUGGCAGGUACAAUGGGCAGCCACGCCGCAAGGCGGAGCGAAUCCACAAAGCCUGUCUCAGUUCGGAUCGGGGUCUGCGACUCGACCCCGUGAAGCUGGAAUCGCUAGUAAUCGGAUAUCAGCCAUGAUCCGGUGAAUACGUUCCCGGGCCUUGUACACACCGCCCGUCAGGCCAUGGAAGCUGGAAGCACCUGAAGUCCGUCACCGCGAGGAGCGGCCUAGGGUGAAGCUGGUAACUGGGGCUAAGUCGUAACAAGGUAGCCGU